CCUACGGGGAGCAGCAGUGGGGAAUAUUGGGCAAUGGGCGCAAGCCUGACCCAGCAACGCCGCGUGAAGGAAGAAGGCUCUCGGGUUGUAAACCUCUUUUCUCAGGGACGAAGCAAGUGACGGUAACUGAGGAAUAAGCCACGGCUAACUACGUGCCAGCAGCCGAGGUAAUACGUAGGUGGCAAGCGUUAGUCGGAUUUACCGGGUGGAAAGGGCGUGUAGGCGGGGACGCCAGUCAGAUGUGAAAACCACGGGCUCAACCUGUGGCCUGCAUUUGAAACUGUGUUUCUUGAGUACUGGAGAGGCAGACGGAAUUCCUAGUGUAGCGGUGAAAUGCGUAGAUAUUAGGAGGAACACCAGUGGCGAAGGCGGUCUGCUGGACAGCAACUGACGCUGAGGCGCGAAAGCGUGGGGAGCAAACAGGAUUAGAUACCCCAGUAGUC
RNAcentral lists this ribosomal RNA (443 nucleotides) under uncultured bacterium. Its description in RNAcentral is "partial 16S ribosomal RNA". It matches the Rfam family "Bacterial small subunit ribosomal RNA", at positions 338 to 795 of the family's 1533-position model. The record is from RNAcentral.